GUGAAUCAUCGAAUCUUUGAACGCAAAUUGCACUCCCUGGUAUUCCGGGGAGUAUGCCUGUUUGAGGGUCGUUAGAACAAAAAUCGAAGCGUCGCUCUUUUUUUUAAGGGUGGUCGCGUCCGAAUUGAACCGUCUUUCAAAUGUUAAUUCCUGUCCAAGGUGCUUGGAAUUCCUCCAUCCGGUACGGAUAAAGCCU
RNAcentral lists this unclassified non-coding RNA (196 nucleotides) under Funneliformis mosseae. RNAcentral's name for it is "partial contains 5.8S ribosomal RNA and internal transcribed spacer 2". The stretch from base 1 to 71 matches the Rfam family "5.8S ribosomal RNA", at positions 84 to 154 of the family's 154-position model. The record is from RNAcentral. Lineage: Eukaryota; Fungi; Glomeromycota; Glomeromycetes; Glomerales; Glomeraceae.